UACGAAGGGGGCUAGCGUUGCUCGGAAUUACUGGGCGUAAAGCGCACGUAGGCGGAUCGAUCAGUCAGGGGUGAAAUCCCAGGGCUCAACCCUGGAACUGCCUUUGAUACUGUCGAUCUGGAGUAUGGAAGAGGUGAGUGGAAUUCCGAGUGUAGAGGUGAAAUUCGUAGAUAUUCGGAGGAACACCAGUGGCGAAGGCGGCUCACUGGUCCAUUACUGACGCUGAGGUGCGAAAGCGUGGGGAGCAAACAGG
This 253-nucleotide ribosomal RNA is filed under the name uncultured bacterium. RNAcentral's name for it is "partial 16S ribosomal RNA". It matches the Rfam family "Bacterial small subunit ribosomal RNA", at positions 524 to 776 of the family's 1533-position model. The record is from RNAcentral.